CACGUACUUCCUCCGUCCGGAAAUACUUGUCAUCAAAAUGGAUAAAAGGAGAUGUAUCUAGAAUCUAGAUACAUCUCCUUUUAUCCAUUUUGAUGACAAGUAUUUCCGGACGGAGGGGGUAUAUU
Triticum aestivum (bread wheat) is the source of this 125-nucleotide non-coding RNA. The record is from Rfam. Lineage: Eukaryota; Viridiplantae; Streptophyta; Magnoliopsida; Poales; Poaceae.